GAACUCAAACUUGUAGUCCUCCUGCUUCAGCCUCCCAGAGUGCUAGGAUUACAGGCCUGUGCCACCACACCUGGCUGAGGCUUUGACUUUUAUAGCUUGUUUGCUCCCUGACUAUGAGUGUCCCUACCUGUAGAGACAUCCUUGGCUCCUUUACCACACUUGGCCUUUCCUGAUAUGUGGUCUAGAAAUCUUAUUACCGAUGACUUUCAAAUUGUUUCUAAAACAAAAGUCAAUAAAAUUUGGAGGGGAUGGCUGGGGCUGUGGGUUCUUUUGGAGUAAGUUGGCUUAUGACUUGUUUUGUCUACUUUCAUCCCAUGUUGCUGUUUCAUUUUAUGUUUCCAGCCAGGGAAUACAGACGUCGUGCUGGGCCACUUUGAUUUAAUCGUCAACAUCCCAGUAACUUUAUUCAUGUUACAGGCCUUUUAAAGCCCUAUAAAUGUAAAUAGUCUUAAUAUAGUUAUUAAAUCUCUCUCCAUUGCCAAAAGAUUAAGUCAAAUCUGUUUUUUUCCCUCAGGCUCAAAAUUCUACAGCAAAUCUGCCCAGCUAGGAUGGAGGGCACUGGCCCGACUUCUUGCUUCUGGCUCUAAUGGUUGCUUUCCCAUUGGAACUGGAGCAUACCAGGGCCUGCAGCCUGCCCCGCCUCCCUCCAGGUGGCACCUCAGCCAGGGACUUCGUGUUCUAGCCCUAUGCAGGUGACUGUCAGGUUGAUCGCUCCAGCUUGGCCCUUUCCAGAACUCUGGAUUUCUCUUUUGUUGCUAUUGUUGUUUGUUUUGUUUUUUUCAGCGUUUUUUCAGAUAGGGUCUCGAUGUGUAGUUCAAACUGGCCUCAAAUUCACUGUGAUCCUCCUGCCUCAGGCUUCCAAGUGCUGGGAUUACAGGCAUGUGCCAUUAUGUCUGAUUCACAACUCUAGAUUUGUUUCAGUAACUCCACAUGGAUGUCUAACAGGCAUCUAAACUUCAAAGUCCAAAAGAGAACUUAUAUCCCUUGGGGCAGCUCACAUACUCAGCCUUCCGUCUUGAUACAUGGCACCACUCUUCACUCAGUGGGCCAGAGUCUAAGUCUUAUUCAUUUUUUCUUUCUUCAAAGUGGUGCUAGAAUUCUGUGUGUGUGUGCCAGAAUUAAACUAAGUACCACUGAGCUAUAUCCCCAGCAUUUUCAUUUUUCAAUUUUUUGAGAUAAGUUUCACUAUGUUGUCCAGGCUGAUUGUCUUAGUUACAUUUCUCAUUGCUGAGACAAAUAUCCGACACCUCUCAGUUUGUAGAGGUUUUAGUUUAUAGUUGGCAGGGUGAAUGGCAGAGGGGCAUCGCAGAGGGGAAACAGUUAAUGGCAGACAAAAGGUAGCAAAGCAUCAAGGAGCCUUAGCUUCUUUCUGCCCCUUUUAUACUCUGUCUAAGCUACUGGGAUUAGGGUGGUGCGACAUUUAAUCCCAGCAUCACACACUCUAAAUUCAGCCACACCUGAAAAAACCUCAUCUAAGACUGCAUGAGGCUUUGAGGGGACAUCUAGAUACAAGCCAUAACACUGGCCUUGAACUUUUUUUUUUUUGGUACCAGGGAUCGGUGGCCUUGAACUUUUGAUCCUCCUGCCUCAGCCACCAGAGUGCUGGGAUUAUAGGCAUGUGCCACCUCACCCAGUUAACUGAUAUGUUGAUCAGCCAUAAAUGGCAAGUACUUCCUGAGUUCUUGCUACUUUAAGUCUCUGUACUUGAUGCCAGCAAGGGAAGAAAAAUGGUACAAGACAUGGCAAUGGACCUUGUAAUUCUGUUUGUAAACACUGAGUCCUUGACUUCUGGAUAAACAUAGUAAACUGAACAAGUGUGUAUAUAUCUCUGCUUCCUCCCAAAACUCGUAAAAUGACAGUCAGGAAUUGAAGCAGUGCAAACUCAGAAACCUCCCAAAGAGGCACCAGCCGAGGCUUGCCCACUGGAGCCCCAGCACUGGAAUGUGGAUCACGCAGAGCAGAGAAGGCUGGAGCAGCAGCCAGGCGGGUGUGUGUGUGUGUGUGUGUGCGCGCGUGCGCAGAGCUGGGAGUGCUGGCUGCAGAAUCCUAAAGGCUGGGCUUGCACAUCAGUGCUCAGCCAGCAACCACCACAUGGGAGGCAGGUCAGAGUGAAGGAGAAAGGAAGGAAAACACUGCAGAAUCCAGGAAACCUGUCCCUUGCCACAGGGAAGGGAAGGGGUUAGAGCCAACUCCACAGGUACACUUUUGGGGCCCCAAGAGCAGCUGGUGUAGAUGGGGGACGGCUAUUCCCAAAAGGGGCAGCGCUAAGAGCAGGGAUGCUUUUGAUCCCCCUCAGAGAAUUUUUUCAGCUCUGGCCUAGUUUGUGGAUUAAAUAGUAACUCAUACAUAGAAAACUAAACAGGAAAACAAGAAUGCAGUUUUAAAAAGAAAGUACUGGUGAUUGCACCCAGGGCUUUUGCACUGAGCUGCAUCCCCAAUCUGUUUUUUGUUUUUCAUUUUGAGACAAAGUCUCGUUAAGUCACUAAAUUGUCCAGGCUGGGCUCCUACCUCAGCCUCCCAGAGUUACUGGGAUUAUAGAUGUCCACCACCAUAUUGUCCAGUGUCUUUUUCUUUCCUCUCUCUCUCUUUUUUCUUUGAUUUUUUGAGGGGCUAGGUCUCACCCCAGGGCCUGUUGCAUGCCGGACAAAUUUUCUACCAGUGAGUAUCUCCCUUUCUCCAUGGAAGCAAUAUUUUUUUCCUUUGUGAUACAGAAGCAAUUUUUAAUAACAAAAUAAAGUUACAAGAAAGAAAAUAUAACCAUAGAACAUUUCAAGGUCAGCUCUAAAUCUUUAUAUAAGCAUGUCAUCAUCAAAUAUUGAUUUAAUUAAAAUGUCAUAUAAUCUUUUAUUUAUUCGUUUAUUUAUUUUGGUUAUUUUGAGACUGGGUCUUCUAUGUGGUUCAGGAUGACCUUGAACUCACUAUGCACUGGGAUUACAGGUGUGUGCCCCCACACUUGGCUGUCAUAUAAUCAUUUAAGGACAAGUGAGAAGGAGAAUUGUGGAGUGGCCGGGGUGACCUGAUAUCAGAAAGCUGGUAGGUAGGUAAUGGCUUGGUUUGAUGUGAAAAGGUUCGACAGACUUGGAAUAAGUCUGGCAAGGAGCAGUGGUGGGGUGAGCAGAAGGAGUGGAUGCUACAAAGACCUUGAGGUAAGAAAGAAGGGACUUGGCCUGGCUGGCAAGAGAACAGCACAAAAUGGAGGAUGUGUGACACGGUCCCAGGCAAGGAUUAGGAGUGGUAAGCUAGGUCAGGGGCCUACGUCUCAUGGGAAGUGGCCAGUAGGUUUUAAGAACAGACAGAUGUGACCAAUCCUGUCUCCACCAAGAUUGCUUGGCUACUGUGCAGGAGAUACAUUGCUCGGAGAAGACAGUGAGGUGAGUGCCAGAGGGGCUGGAGCAGCAGCUCAGGUGAGAGGGCACAGGGACUUGGCUGAGCAAAGUAGUUGCAAGUUCUAGUCUAGCCUGGGCAGUUUAGCAAAUUAGCAAGACCUCUGUCUCAAAACAAAUUCAGUCUGAAGGCCCUGGGUUCAGUGCCUAGUACUGGACCUGGGAGGUGGCAAGGGGCUAGCUAAAAUGGGUCUCCUGGCUUCAGAAACAUGGCAAAGACCUUUGGAAAGGCCCCUACAUCUGUGAACUAAAUAUAAUUAUGUAUUGCCGUGUGCGUAAAGGGAGAGGGUAUAAAAUACACCAAAAACAGAUUAUAGGAAUUUGAUGUGGAGAGAGGUUUAGGCAGCUGAGAAAAGCUUCGCAGAAAGGAGUUGAGUUGUGCCAUGAGAGUUUAGUACGCUUUAGGUAAAAAAGGAAAAGAAUGUGCUAAGCUACACACUGCUCUGGUUGCCAGUGAGGAAAGCUGACACUGCUCAUUUGUUCAAGAUGGUGGCAAUUAGGGCUGUGUUCGCUCCCAGGUGCUGUCCUGGCUGAUUUCCGACAGGCCAGACCCUGUGAGGCAGUCAUGGGACACGCCAGCACAGGGUCAUAGCAUCCUCCAAGCGGUGCCAGGAGAAGAUGGGCAUCUCUUUCUUGAGCAUAGUGUUUCCACUUCCAGUAAUAUUCCAAUAAAAACCAAGAGAGAAAAGUCAGACCGUUUUCCUUUUCCCUUUUCUGAUAGCCAUGACUGAAUGGUUUUUGUGUUCUUAUUUAAAAGAAGAACUUGGCAUAUGACAUACCUCUUCCAGCCAUCUUUAGUGGGUUGUGGGGUGUGAGUGAUUAAGAAUGCAGCUGUGCUUUCUACCAACACAUGCUUUUAAGGAGUGAGCUGCAAAGCAGAC
RNAcentral lists this long non-coding RNA (4264 nucleotides) under Heterocephalus glaber (naked mole-rat). Its description in RNAcentral is "lncRNA (ENSHGLG00000047466.1)". Lineage: Eukaryota; Metazoa; Chordata; Mammalia; Rodentia; Bathyergidae. The record is from RNAcentral.